GAACACCACCUGCCCCAUUGAUAAGCAUACACCAUGUACGUAAACUAGGGGCACAAACAGCAAAUGAAGAAAUGCUGUUGAUUUGAUUGACUGAUAGAGUUAAUAUUGGAAGGAAACCAAUUAGGAAUUGAAACAGUGGCGAAAUGAAAUUCUGGGAUUGGUAUCUGAAAAUUGCAGUAGUUUCAGCCAUGAUUGGAGGUUCCAUGGAGUUAUUCAUGAUUAAGACUGGCUUUUAUGAUAAGGUGACUGUUCUAGAGGCAGAAAAGAGAGCCUGGGAGAAUUCUCCUGAAGCCAAGGCUGUCAGAGAAGCUCUUAAUCCAUGGAGACAUCACGACGCUGAAGCAACAAAGGAUUCUUAGCACUUCUGUUAAGCCACUCAAGAAUCUGCCUUGAAGAAUAAUUGGCCCAGCGGAGUGCUUUUUUGAACUUACUCUUAUUCAUAUUUCUCAUGGACGUCGUUGAAGAGCGUGUCAGCUGAUUGUUUCACCAGCUUGGUGGUCACUUCACUUGGCAUGCGAUGAAAAAGUUGUAUGAAGACAAUUGUGCUUAUAAAUGUAAAACUUGUGUGAACCCCUAUUUGUUGUUUUUCUUCUCUUUCUAGACAUUUAGUUCUUUGCUUUCUUGCAUCUGCAUGUUCAAGAGAAACAAUCAGGGAAAAGUGGACUAGAUAGCCAUUUGAGAAAUGUAUUUAUUCCCCUAAGUUUAUGUUUU
Lycium ferocissimum is the source of this 711-nucleotide long non-coding RNA. RefSeq lists it as uncharacterized. The record is from RefSeq and is a predicted model, not a curated record. The transcript is spliced from 4 exons. Lineage: Eukaryota; Viridiplantae; Streptophyta; Magnoliopsida; Solanales; Solanaceae.